CUGGCUUUUCUUCCCCCUCCCCCACCGAGCUGCAACAUCUCGCUUGCACCUUGCAAAAGUUCUUAUGCGAACGCUCUGAUGAAUGAUGGCUUUUUAAAUCAGCAGUUUUGAUCAAAUACCUAGAAAUGUGUUUCGGCCAUCGAGGGCAACGACGUCAUUUUUAAGAGAGCAACUGCGUUGAUGUUCUCAAAAAAUGAGUAUUCAAAGUACUAACAUCAAAAACACUUGCAGAAGUAACUAAAAGGACAUUCGUGGCUUGAGGGAAUCAGUCUUUUUUGGAGUUGAGGGGAAUCCGGUUGGAUUACUGAUCAGAGGCUUUACAAUUUCACAUGGCUUAACUCUUUAGAAUAUGGUUAACCUGAACAGUUUUACAUUCACGUGAAAACACUAAGAUUCAGCUCUCACAUUUCAUUCAUUAUAGCCUUUUGCUUUUGAAAUAACCACAGUCAUGUUUUUCUCUCAUUAGUUUUUACUUUUCAAAUAAAAAUUGUUGACCUUUUUGUACCCACUUAAGAUAGACCGAAGAGCGACUGUUAAGAUAGAACGGUGAGCCAUUUGUGUCCGUGAUGGAACCUACCAGAAUUCCCUUUGCCAUGGCUAAUUUUAGCUGCGGGUUGGGUAGACAGAGCAUGAGCAGGGGAGGGGUACAGAGAGAGGGAGACAUGGAAUCCGAAGCAGGCUCCAGGCUCUGAGCUGUCAGCACAGAGCCUGAUGCGGGGCUCAAACUCACAAACUGCAAGAUCAUGACCUGAGCUGAAGUUGGACGCUUAACUGAAUAAGCCACCAGGCGCCCCUAAAAGAAUUUCGUUGUAAUAGUUCUUCCUGAUGAAGUAUUUAUUGCUGGGUUUAGCUUUUUUUUUUUUUAAUCUGUAUUU
Long non-coding RNA from Panthera uncia (snow leopard), 875 nucleotides. RefSeq lists it as uncharacterized. The transcript is spliced from 2 exons. The record is from RefSeq and is a predicted model, not a curated record. Lineage: Eukaryota; Metazoa; Chordata; Mammalia; Carnivora; Felidae.